AUGACCAAGCGGGGCGGUUCGCCACUAUCGUUGCCUCCUCCACCGGCGCGCACCGUGCCUCCAGCGCCAGCGGUCGAUCGCCGCGGCAUGGACGCAGCCCGCGCAGACACCUCCAAGCUCAAGACACUCCGAGACUACCGACGCGCCCGGGGUCUGUGUUUCAAGUGCGGCGAGAGGUGGGGGCACGGCCAUGUGUGCCCCACUACUGUCCAACUACACGCCGUCGAAGAGCUACUGGACAUCUUCGGCCUCGACAGUGUCGUGGACACACAGCUGGGUCCUGAUGAAACAGCGCAUGACACAACCAUGGCAAUCUCAGUUUCGACUGUUACAGGAGGGGUUUCUGCUAAAGCCUUUCAGCUCAGAGCGUGGCUGCAGGGGCACGAGGUCCUCAUGCUGGUCGAUUCCGGCAAUUCUAAUUCUUUUGUCAAUGAGCAUCUCGCAAGGCAGCUCUCAGGGAUUCAACCUCUCUCCAAAUCCAGCCGCGUCAGAGUUGCGGAUGGGGGUGAAUUGUUCUGCAAGGAGGUUGCCACACAAUGCGCGUGGUAUGCACAGGGGCAUGAGUUCUAUACGGAUUUGAAGGUGUUGGCCCUGGGCACAUACGAUGUCAUUCUGGGCAUGGACUGGCUGGAAGAGCACAACCCAAUGCAAGUUGACUGGCGCGCUCGUUUCAUUGAAAUACCAACAUCAGCAGGUCCGUUGCAUCUCGUGGGGCACGACGCAGCGUCGACCAGUUGCCAGUCCAUCAACAGCUUGCAGCUGCAAAACCUGUGCAGCAAGGGAUCUGUCUCACAUAUCAUACAUCUUUGUGUGGUAGCACCUCAGCCUGAGAUCUUGGAACAGACACCCGAUUGCAUUCAGGAAAUAUUGGAUCAAUUUCUGGACGUAUUUGAAGAACCAAAGGGGCUCCCACCAAGGAGGGCGUGUGACCAUCAUAUUCCGCUCAUUCCAGGAGCACGGCCAGUUAAUGUCAGGCAGUAUCGAUAG
RNAcentral lists this ribosomal RNA (987 nucleotides) under Triticum aestivum (bread wheat). Its description in RNAcentral is "partial small subunit ribosomal RNA". The record is from RNAcentral. Lineage: Eukaryota; Viridiplantae; Streptophyta; Magnoliopsida; Poales; Poaceae.